GAUGAACGCUAGCUACGGGCUUAACACAUGCAAGUCGAGGGGCAGCAGGGAUUUAGCUUGCUAAAUUCGCUGGCGACCGGCGCACGGGUGCGUAACGCGUAUCCAACCUUCCCGUUACUCUGGGAUAGCCUUCCGAAAGGGAGAUUAAUACCGGAUGGUGUUCAAAUGUCGCAUGUUAUUUGAACUAAAGAUUUAUCGGUAACGGAUGGGGAUGCGUGACAUUAGAUAGUAGGCGGGGUAACGGCCCACCUAGUCUACGAUGUCUAGGGGUUCUGAGAGGAAGAUCCCCCACGCUGGAACUGAGACACGGUCCAG
Molecule: ribosomal RNA, 315 nt
Filed under: uncultured bacterium
Lineage: Bacteria
Description: bacterial SSU rRNA
Rfam family: Bacterial small subunit ribosomal RNA
Source: RNAcentral